CUGAUAGUCCUGGAAACUGAAACUGUAUACUUACAAAACAGGUAUUGCAUGGGGUGUGGAAGCGUAAUUUUAUCCCACGCUGCAGAGUCUGUGCCUCAGGCAGGAUCCAGCAUGACAGUGGAGUCUCUGGCUUUCACUGCACUUUAAACCAGCAAAACU
Molecule: unclassified non-coding RNA, 159 nt
Organism: Junco hyemalis (dark-eyed junco)
Lineage: Eukaryota; Metazoa; Chordata; Aves; Passeriformes; Passerellidae
Source: Ensembl